UACGGAGGGGGCUAGCGCUGUACGGAAUUACUGGGCGUAAAGCGCACGUAGGCGGACUGGAGAGUCAGAGGCGAAAUCCCGGGGCGCAACUCCGGAACUGCCUUUGAAACUCCCGGUCUUGAGGUCGAGAGAGGUGAGUGGAAUUCCGAGUGUAGAGGUGAAAUUCGUAGAUAUUCGGAGGAACACCAGUGGCGAAGGCGGCUCACUGGCUCGUUACUGACGCUGAGGUGCGAAAGCGUGGGGAGCAAACAGG
This 253-nucleotide ribosomal RNA is filed under the name uncultured bacterium. RNAcentral's name for it is "partial 16S ribosomal RNA". It matches the Rfam family "Bacterial small subunit ribosomal RNA", at positions 524 to 776 of the family's 1533-position model. The record is from RNAcentral.